This 460-nucleotide ribosomal RNA is filed under the name uncultured bacterium. RNAcentral describes it as "partial 16S ribosomal RNA". It matches the Rfam family "Bacterial small subunit ribosomal RNA", at positions 338 to 795 of the family's 1533-position model. The record is from RNAcentral.
CCUACGGGUGGCAGCAGUGAGGAAUAUUGGUCAAUGGGCGCGAGCCUGAACCAGCCAAGUAGCGUGAAGGAUGACUGCCCUACGGGUUGUAAACUUCUUUUAUAAAGGAAUAAAGUGCGGCACGUGUGCCUUUCUGUAUGUACUUUAUGAAUAAGGAUCGGCUAACUCCGUGCCAGCAGCCGCGGUAAUACGGCGGAUCCGAGCGUUAUCCGGAUUUCUGGGGUUUAAAGGGAGCGUAGAUGGGUGUUUAAGUCAGUUGUGAAAGGUUGCGGCUCAAACGUAGAAUUGCAAUUGAUACUGGCAGUCUUGAGUACAGUUGAGGUAGGCGGAAUUCGUGGUGUAGCGGUGAAAUGCUUAGAUAUCACGAAGAACUCCGAUUGCGAAGGCAGCUUACUAAACUGCCACUGACAUUGAUGCUCGAAAGUGUGGGUAUCAAACAGGAUUAGAUACCCCAGUAGUC